Molecule: small RNA, 30 nt
Filed under: Bombyx mori (domestic silkworm)
Lineage: Eukaryota; Metazoa; Arthropoda; Insecta; Lepidoptera; Bombycidae
Description: ovarian small RNA-32776
Source: RNAcentral
UGAUGAAGGUCUAAUAAAAGACCGAAACGU